Molecule: non-coding RNA, 23 nt
Filed under: Cricetulus griseus (Chinese hamster)
Lineage: Eukaryota; Metazoa; Chordata; Mammalia; Rodentia; Cricetidae
Source: RNAcentral
GAAAUAAAAUUUAAUUAACUUUG